RNAcentral lists this microRNA (22 nucleotides) under Monodelphis domestica (gray short-tailed opossum). RNAcentral describes it as "mdo-miR-1548-3p". Lineage: Eukaryota; Metazoa; Chordata; Mammalia; Didelphimorphia; Didelphidae. The record is from miRBase by way of RNAcentral.
UGCAUCCUGCAGCGGGCUCCCC